Molecule: ribosomal RNA, 572 nt
Filed under: uncultured Actinomycetes bacterium
Lineage: Bacteria; Bacillati; Actinomycetota; Actinomycetes
Description: bacterial SSU rRNA
Rfam family: Bacterial small subunit ribosomal RNA
Source: RNAcentral
UGGUGAGGUAACGGCCCACCAAGGCGACGACGGGUAGCUGGUCUGAGAGGACGACCAGCCACACUGGAACUGAGAUACGGUCCAGACUCCUACGGGAGGCAGCAGUGGGGAAUAUUGCACAAUGGGCGAAAGCCUGAUGCAGCGACGCCGCGUGAGGGAUGAAGGCCUUCGGGUCGUAAACCUCUUUCGGCAGGGACGAAGCGAUCAGUGACGGUACCUGCAGAAGAAGCCCCGGCUAACUACGUGCCAGCAGCCGCGGUAAGACGUAGGGGGCGAGCGUUGUCCGGAUUCAUUGGGCGUAAAGCGUGCGUAGGCGGCUGCGCAAGUCGGUUGUGAAACCCCGGGGCUCAACCCCGGAACUGCAUCCGAUACUGCGUGGCUAGAGGUAGGUAGGGGAGAUCGGAAUUCCUGGUGUAGCGGUGAAAUGCGCAGAUAUCAGGAGGAACACCGGUGGCGAAGGCGGAUCUCUGGGCCUUACCUGACGCUCAGGCACGAAAGCUAGGGGAGCGAACAGGAUUAGAUACCCUGGUAGUCCUAGCCGUAAACGUUGGGUGCUAGGUGUGGGCGGAUAU